Long non-coding RNA from Panicum virgatum (switchgrass), 590 nucleotides. RefSeq lists it as uncharacterized. The record is from RefSeq and is a predicted model, not a curated record. Lineage: Eukaryota; Viridiplantae; Streptophyta; Magnoliopsida; Poales; Poaceae. The transcript is spliced from 4 exons.
UCCGCGUACUCUAGAUUUCUCUUUCCACUUCUACAGCAAUCGAGAACAACAGGAAUCAGUAAAAAAACGACGCUUCCCCUUCCGCAUCUCAGUUCCCAAACCAGCGAAAAUCACCAUCACCCCUUCCACUUCCGGAUUGCAACAAAAAAAUCAUCCUACCUCAGCCAACGUCGACCAGGGCGUUGUCGAUCUCGCUGCUUCUUCCUAGUACACUACAUUGACAUGAAACAGGAGGGUGAAAAAAGGAAGAUUCUAGAUCAAGAGUAGCUAUAUAUUGACAAUGAUACCAAUGCAGGGUGAGCUUACUACAAUAUGUGAUCUUCGUCUAUCAACAACAAAUGCUGUUUUACAUGUAAGAGUAUCAAGGAUGUGGGAAUUCAGAGAGGGAGGAAAUGAAAAAGGGAAUAUAAAGCAUCUUGACUUGGUUCUCAUUGACCAGAAGGUAUUUCCAUCAUCAGUACAAGUACUAAUACAAACCAAAAAUAUGUAUAUGUAUAUUUUAACAUUCCUAAUCUAUGUCACAAAAAUUUCUACAUGUAGGGUGAUGCAAUCUAUACUGAAAUACCACCAGAUGUAAUACCAAUUUUAAA